Molecule: ribosomal RNA, 345 nt
Filed under: Triticum aestivum (bread wheat)
Lineage: Eukaryota; Viridiplantae; Streptophyta; Magnoliopsida; Poales; Poaceae
Description: partial small subunit ribosomal RNA
Source: RNAcentral
AUGUACGUCAGAAAUCUCGCGCGACACCUCCACAGAAACAAAACACCGUCGUUGUUCUUCAAGUUGGAUAUCAGGAAGGCCUUUGACUCAGUGUGAUGGGAGUACAUCCUUGACCUACUCCACCGGCUGGGCUUUCUGGACCGCUUUCGGGAUUGGGUGGCGGCCCUCUUAUGCACGUCCUCUUCGCGCUUCCACCUCGACGGUAUUGUUGGGCCCACCAUCUACCAUGUUCAAGGGCUCAGACAAGGGGACUACCUCUCCCCCCUUCUCUUUGUCCUCACGACCGACCCCUUGCAGCAGCUCCUCGAUGUUGCCACAAGUCACAACCUGCUCCACAAGAUUUGA